UGGUCCAUCCUAAUUCUUGCUGGUCAGUUUGUGGCCUGACAGGUUUUACUUAUUGAACAGAGGACCCUAGAACAAUAAGGAGCAAUUUCAGUGGUGUCCCAAUACUCUACUUAAGAUUC
Molecule: small nucleolar RNA, 119 nt
Organism: Ictidomys tridecemlineatus (thirteen-lined ground squirrel)
Lineage: Eukaryota; Metazoa; Chordata; Mammalia; Rodentia; Sciuridae
Source: Ensembl